AUAUAUAUGUAUGUGUGUAUAUGUGUGUAUAUAUACACAUACACACAUAUAUAUACACACAUAUAUACA
Molecule: microRNA precursor, 69 nt
Filed under: Mus caroli (Ryukyu mouse)
Lineage: Eukaryota; Metazoa; Chordata; Mammalia; Rodentia; Muridae
Description: miRNA (MGP_CAROLIEiJ_G0007576.1)
Source: RNAcentral